AUAAAGUAACCCAACACUCUGUCCUUCCAGAACAAACACAACAAAUGCCCAUUGCUAAGAGGCAGCAGUAACUCCUUAGGGAGCUGUUUCCUGUCUGAAUAUAUUGUUACUGGGAUGACUCAGGGGCUGCUUCACAAGAUGCAGGAAAAAUUCCCCAUCUGUAUUCUGAUUGCAGCUGGACUAUUGGAUUUAUCCGGUGCCUCCAGGAACGAACAUCAUGGCAGUGAAGUAUUAGGCCUGAGCUUUCCUGGGGAAGCACAAGCAAGAGCUGAGAUCAGCCCAGUGCCCAGCGAAGUGUUUUCCAUUACAGAAGAUAGCUCGGAUGAGGUGACCUUAAAUUUUCAGAGUGCAGCAGUUGAUCCUGCCAAUGACACAACAGUUGACUUCAUUCCUGUCCAUACAGGGACAGCUGCAAGAAGAACAGCCGAGCUGCCGAAGGAGUUGGUUACAAACUUGGAGGUGCCUGAGCAACUGCAGACAGAAGCAGCCACUUUAAAACUCCAGGCUGGACACACAUUUCCUAGCAAGCUCUUGAGUAGCAUAAGCAUGUCUGUCUCCACACCAGGAUCACAGGCUACCACACAUCUGGAACAUCCAGACAGGUCACUGCAAGGAAAACCAAAAAAUAUUCCUGGGGCUGGUUCCAGUCCCACCAGCUCUGGCACUGGGCUGCCCCAGCCCUUUCUCAGUGGAGGGACUCAUCAAGACUCUCCCCAGUUUACAGCUGUCUCUUCCAUUCCUGUUAUCAAGCAGAUGGAGGUGCCAAGUCCUACAACAUCUCUUCUGACUUCUGUGGUAAAUUUUCAUUCUCCAAGAAAAGAAAUAGAAGCGUCUCCAUUUCCCACAGGAGUUAGGAUUGCUCUUGAAGGUGCAAGCGUGGAUUGGUUACCAAGAGGAAUGCCUCUCACUACCAAAAGGCCAAAAGACACAAAUCCACAAGUCCAGCCUGACAGCAAAGCCGUUGUGACACCUGCAUACCCAAAGAAGACUCAGAGUAUGGAUGCUAAAGGUACAACUUCUGCAUUCCUACAAAAGCCAGCUUCAGGGGACCUUGAUGCAGUCCAUUCCAGAAUGACACAGACAAGUGCUAUUCGUCUUUCCCCUAUUUUCUCUGGCAAUAAAGCCAGAAACUCAACAACAGCUGUAAUAAAUGGUUCUGGAUACCCAACCCAGUUGCCCGCUCUUCAGUCACUCCCACAAGGCAACGUACUUUCUUCUUCACUAUUGAUACAUCUGGAAGCUCUAGUUCGUGAUGACUUACUUCCAUCUCCAUUUCAAGGGCCCAUCAGCACAACUGAUAGACAGCAGCCCCUCUCUUCGUCCCGGACUCUCAACUGUACUAAACAACAUGUUUCCCAAAAAAACAACAGCAGCUAUCAAGAAAUUGCAGUUCUGGUUUUGCAAAGAGAUACUGAUCAUCAGAUGAUGACAAGUAAACCUGAAAAACCCAGAUCCCCUGAGAGCCCGCAGGCUUCUGCUAAUUCAUCCUCAUUAGGCCAGUCAUGGAUUUCCACAUUAAAACUUUCCCAAACUACUAAAGAGCUGAAAGGAGUAACAUCUGCACUCUUUCCAGGUACAUCUACCUUUGAGAACGCGGUCCUUCAGCCUGUAAGCACUUUUGAUCCUGUUCAUGCUUCCACCCACCAGCCACCAGGUACAUCUCUUCCUGCUUACGCUGGAUUGCAGCUAAUGGGCAUCCCCACCUCUGAGAGAGGACUUCAUAUACCAACUUCAUCCAUGUCUGCUGGUUCUGUGUCUCGGGUUCAAGGCAUUUCUGCCCACCCUGUAUCUCUGGAAGCCUUCCCUGUGAUGUUGCAGAUGAGCACGGUGGAAGACUCCAAGGGAAAGAAAAGUCUCCCACAACAGACAGGUAAAACCGGUUCUUCCCCACUGACUCCACAAGCCAGCCCAGUCCCUGGCCCCUCUGGACUGCGUGACAGUGUGAACCAGAAAGUUCCUCUUCACAGCUUUGCCCCUUCAGCCUCCCAGAUCCAGCAGGCUGGCAGCCUGGCAGCUUUUGCCUCAAAACUGCCCUCACUCCAUGAACAGGGAAGCCAGUCCAGCUCGACAACAGCGCAUCCUGAACCGAUGGUGCCCGGUGUUUCUGAUGAGAUCCCAGCGUAUCUGGCACAAGCACUAGUGCAGCAGUUUGGUAUGUCACAUGACACAGCUCCCAAAAACCUCAGUGCUUUUAGAGGCGAUCACCUUAGAGUGCUUACAUCCCCAUUCCUGUCCUUUCUGCUUAAAAGUGCCAAUGGCAUGAUAUGCCUGCAGCCCAUGCAAGAUUCCCCUUUACCUACAAAAUUCCAAAAUACCAGUGCUGGGGGUCUGGUUUCCAUUCAGCAAAUCCUGGCAGCAUCAAAUUCUUCAGUGCUGGACCUUGCAAACUUUCAAAAUCUGACUCCUCCUAGCUUAAUUCUGGUUAAGCCUGUGUUUAUACUUCUGCCAGUUGACGGACCAGAUUUACAGGUGGUGCCCUCUCCUGAGGGUAAAGAUGACCACAAAACUGCCCUCUUGUUCACAAACCAGAAAGAUCUCAGUUCGGGUACACCUGAAAGCAGCCAUGAUAUCCUGAUGAAAACUAGUUCCUCUUAUCCCACUAGUAAGUCUUCAAGGUCUGAAACUACUCUCUCCACUGCAUCUAACCAACUUUCUGCAGAGAAAGCAGAAGUAACUUCUCAGCCAGUGCUAGCUAAUCCUAACUAUACAGCCAUCACUAGUUUGUUUCCAGCUUUUACCUCAGCAUCAAAUCAUUUGCUGGGCCCACAGAUGAGAAUUGGCACUACGGUGCAGGCCGUGCAUCUGCACAGGCUGCCUGAAGAGGUGCAGGUACCUGCGCCCAGUUCCCAAGGUGCCAGGGGGACUGAUUUGCUUUUACUUGACAGUGUGUUGGCAGAGCCUUUCACCUCCACCGCGCCACCAUUUGUGGUGUCUGCACAGCAUAGCCACCGUAUUUCCCCUGGAGUAUUUUUCACUGCUGGAAAGCCACAUUCUUCUGUCAUUCCUUUACUGUCAGCAAAGAGGCUCCCUGAUUUUCAAAUGCCUGCCCGACCUCCACUUACUGUCACAGAGGCUGUAGAUGAGAUGCAGCACAGUCAGAAACUAAUGCUGCAAACUACCGGCCAUCACCAAGGCUUGGUGACGACACCUUCCCCUGUCCGUGCGCACUGCACGGAGUGUUUGCCUUGGCACUCAGCUAGAACCAUAAAAUACCCAUUAAAGAGGGUCACAAGCAUCGUGCCUUUGCAGUCCACAUCACAAAGUCUCCGAAGUACUGAGUCACUCCAAAGGCUGCCGACCCAAGUUCACUUUAUACCCAGCACAUCAUCAGCUUUCUCAGUGCUUCCAGCUGGAAAUGAUGGCAGAGAUCCAGCAGUGGGCAGCACGACCUGUUCAGGAGGAGUCGCUGUGUGUGCUAAAGAAGCACGAACCUUCACCUCUUCUGUAAAACCUGAUCUUGCUAAACAUUUGGAAUUUACUCCCGUUAUGCCUAAGCCCUUUACAGUGACAGAGAGACCAACAACAGCACCGGUGCAUACUUCACCUUCAACAAAGGGCCAAAUGAAAACAGCAGCUUCUGGGAAACUUCUGGCUACGAUUGCCCAUCCAAGGAUGUUUAUCAGCUCUCCUGCAAGUCCUGCUUCACCUGUGUCUACACGUGUUUCCCUGCUGUCAGCCACAAAACAUGACCAAAUCCAUCGAGCCCCUACUAAACUGUUGUCACAGGCCAAUGUGGGAGAAAAUGCAAAGCCAACUGAAAUCAGCACAAGUGCAAGAAAAAUAGGAACCAGUAAGUUCCUGGGAACAAGCGUGUCUCUGUCAGCCAUGUUUAACACGAGGACGCAGCAAACCCCCCCAGCAGAUCUUGGGAAUAAGGUCAAUUUAACUCUGCUACAACCACCGGUGUCUGCAGGAUCUGUUAUUGCUCUUGAGAGACAGCCUGAAUUGUCCCAGACCACAGCACAGCCUCCCUUAGCCACGACUUCUCU
RNAcentral lists this long non-coding RNA (3989 nucleotides) under Athene cunicularia (burrowing owl). Its description in RNAcentral is "lncRNA (ENSACUG00000003549.1)". Lineage: Eukaryota; Metazoa; Chordata; Aves; Strigiformes; Strigidae. The record is from RNAcentral.